RNAcentral lists this ribosomal RNA (489 nucleotides) under uncultured bacterium. RNAcentral describes it as "partial 16S ribosomal RNA". It matches the Rfam family "Bacterial small subunit ribosomal RNA", at positions 28 to 507 of the family's 1533-position model. The record is from RNAcentral.
GACGAACGCUGGCGGCGUGCUUAACACAUGCAAGUCGAACGGAAAGGCCCCCAUCUUGGUGGGGGUGCUCGAGUGGCGAACGGGUGAGUAACACGUGGGUGAUCUGCCCUGUACUUCGGGAUAAGCUUGGGAAACUGGGUCUAAUACCGGAUAGGACCAUGGUUUAGUGUCUCAUGGUGGAAAGAUUAUUGUUUUGGUGCAGGAUGAGCUCGCGGCCUAUCAGCUUGUUGGUGGGGUAAUGGCCUACCAAGGCGUCGACGGGUAGCCGGCCUGAGAGGGUGGGCGGCCACAUUGGGACUGAGAUACGGCCCAGACUCCUACGGGAGGCAGCAGUGGGGAAUAUUGCACAAUGGGCGCAAGCCUGAUGCAGCGACGCCGCGUGGGGGAUGACGGCCUUCGGGUUGUAAACUCCUUUCGUUAGGGACGAAGCCGCACUUUUUUUGGGUGUGGUGACGGUACCUUUGUUAAGAAGCACCGGCUAACUACGUG